UACGUAGGGUGCAAGCGUUAAUCGGAAUUACUGGGCGUAAAGCGUGCGCAGGCGGUUAUGUAAGACAGGUGUGAAAUCCCAGGGCUUAAACUUGGAACUGCAUUUGUGACUGCAUAGCUAGAGUACGGUAGAGGGGGAUGGAAUUCCGCGUGUAGCAGUGAAAUGCGUAGAUAUGCGGAGGAACACCGAUGGCGAAGGCAAUCCCCUGGACCUGUACUGACGCUCAUGCACGAAAGCGUGGGGAGCAAACAGG
RNAcentral lists this ribosomal RNA (253 nucleotides) under uncultured bacterium. Its description in RNAcentral is "partial 16S ribosomal RNA". It matches the Rfam family "Bacterial small subunit ribosomal RNA", at positions 524 to 776 of the family's 1533-position model. The record is from RNAcentral.